This 492-nucleotide ribosomal RNA is filed under the name uncultured bacterium. Its description in RNAcentral is "partial 16S ribosomal RNA". It matches the Rfam family "Bacterial small subunit ribosomal RNA", at positions 30 to 507 of the family's 1533-position model. The record is from RNAcentral.
AUUGAACGCUGGCGGCAUGCUUUACACAUGCAAGUCGAACGGUAACAGGCCUUCGGGUGCUGACGAGUGGCGAACGGGUGAGUAAUGCAUCGGAACGUACCCAGAGGUGGGGGAUAACGCAGCGAAAGCUGUGCUAAUACCGCAUGUGAUCUGAGGAUGAAAGCGGGGGACCGAGCAGCAAUGUUUGGCCUCGCGCCUUUGGAGCGGCCGAUGUCGGAUUAGCUAGUUGGUGGGGUAAAGGCCUACCAAGGCGACGAUCCGUAGCUGGUCUGAGAGGACGACCAGCCACACUGGGACUGAGACACGGCCCAGACUCCUACGGGAGGCAGCAGUGGGGAAUUUUGGACAAUGGGCGCAAGCCUGAUCCAGCAAUGCCGCGUGCGGGAAGUAGGCCUUCGGGUUGUAAACCGCUUUUGGCAGGAAUGAAACGGUGUCCGCUAAUACCGGGCGCUAAUGACGGUACCUGCAGAAUAAGCACCGGCUAACUACGUG